UCAAAUUACCGAAGAAUUUGGUGUUGAAUAAGUCUUAUUUUUAUUUUUCCCAGUAAACAUAAAGAAAGCUAUGUUAACAUGAUACGAAAUACAUAUUGUUGGGCUACUGCAUUGAUUUGCUGUUUAAUUGUUGCAACCAGAAAGGUUCCAAUUCGAGACUGCGCAUCUUGUAACGCUUGGUAUAAUAGACAGUGUACUGAACAGCAAUGCCCAUCUACGAAUAUUAUGGUAAUUAAGUCAGCAUGGGCCCAUCGAUGUGCUGAGAUCUGGGAUGAGUGUGAAAAACUGUGCUUUAAACACUAACACAUAAUAAUACAUUCUCGGAAUUUGUACAUAAACAGGACAGAGAUUAAAAAAUCAAUGUUAACGUUGACGUAUAAUAAAACAACCUUGGACUUUGUACAUUAGCAGGACAGAGACGUAUGAUAAAACAAUCUUGGACUUUGUACAUUAGUAGGACAGAGAUUAAAAAAAUCAAUGAUAAAACGUUGACGUAUAAUGAUAUAAUCUUGGAAUUUGUACAUAAGCAGGACAAACAUAAAAAAAUCAAUGAUGGUUUUUAGAAAAUGGUAUUAAAAUCUAAGAAUAUUUUGUCCACUAUUGAAAAGUAUUUAGUGUCUUCACAAUAUGAUUUCAAUAGAUUUAUUAGGAAGAUUAAAGUAUCACUGGAUAUUACAUAAAACAAGGUCGUGUUUCAGAUAGUUUGAAACGCCUUUGUUAGCGAUAGCGUAAUCUAUAUCUAUAACCUGACUUGUGAAUUUAAAUAUUUACGUGGUUGCGGCUAGAUCUUAAUGAUUUGACGUGUUUUCACAAGAAACUGAUGUUGUAACAACUUUGCAGAGAAGACCAACAGUCAUCAACUACUACGAGCGGUAUAAAUAGAGAAACACAAUACAUAUAAAUGAUCACGAUUAAUGUAAUUAUAUAUUGUUGAAUUAAACAUUAAGAAGACCGCCAUCUUGGAUUUGUCUUUGUUUAAACAGGUCGACAUCGAUCAAUUUUAAAAUUUGCAACAUUUGAGGCAAGGUCUCAGAAGUUAUGAUUAUAUCUUUGGAAAUGCACUUGCGUAAACAUUGAUAUCUCAUUCUAAAACGCAUAUUUAAGAUACAUGCCACAAUUAUUGACUUAUUCCUGAAUCAAAGAAUCGACCAGAGCAAAGGGAAUGACUUUACAACUGGAACCGUUUUCGUUAUGACAAAAGUUAAGUCAUCAAUAUUUGUUUUACUGAAUGUUGAAUGUAUGUAUAUGUAUUCUGUUUCAUGGGAAUUUAACACACAACUUUAAAUCAUUUUAGUAGAAGUGUCUCCCAAUCUUUAAAAAAACAAAAACAAACUAAAAAAAUCCUUAUCUGCAUAAUUUGGCAUGAUUAUCUAUACCUUUUCCAAGAAAAAAUUCUUUCCGAACACUUGAAUAGGCCUCUCAUGAUAUAUUUCAAUACCAGUCACUACAUGUACUGAAAAGUUAUACUUGUUCUGUGCACAGAAUGGCAAAAGUGGGAUAUUUACCUUCUAUGUUUUCGAUUACAUUUUGGUUAAUAUUAUUUCAAAAACAAGUUUCUCUAUCCCUCUCUCUUAAAAUAAAUAUCGUUAAACAGCUGAACAUAUGUGUCGAUUAACAUUUUUUAUUUUAUGGCAAUUAAAUUUCAAAUGCAACUAUCAGAAAGAGAAAUAACGCAUAUGAAACAUAAGUGAUACUCGGGUAUUCUGAAAUCAGUCUUUUAGAAAUUUUAUAGCGUGAUUUUUUUGGAGCCUUAAUUGUGACGUAUUAGAAUAGUAAAACAACCAACAAGCUUUAAGACAAUUUUUUAAUCUGGUCUAUUCAUAAAGAGUAAUGAGGGGUCGACAAAAAACUGGCGUCAGUUAGUUUGAAUUUAAUCUUUAAUCGGGGACAUUGUUAUUACCGGUCUUGUUUUGUUAAAGUUACAACGUUAACGUACUACGCAUCUCUUGUGCAGGUAACACCAGAAAAGCACUUCAUAUACAUGAAUUCAAAGCGUUUAGUUGAUUCAUUAACGAUUGUGAGUUUUCUUAUGAUUUAUUCAUGGCUAUUGUGCUUAAUCCCCCCCCUUUUUUUUUAAUAAAAAUCACAGUUUUGUGUUAAAUUUUUAGCAAUCUUAGGGGUAUUGUGCUUAUAUUUGCUAUAAACUUAUAUUUUGAAUAUUUACAUAUCAUUAGAGAUUUGGUAAUUUUCUAGCAAUCUUUGGGGUAUUGUGCUUAUAUUUGUUAUAAACUUAUAUUAUGAAUAUUAAUAUAUCAUCAGAUAUUUAAGUAACAUUUCGAAGAAUGUGCAUUCAUAAUCUUUGAGUAAACCAUGAAGAAAUUUAACAUUUCCACAAGCAACCAUUACAACCCUCACAACAGCAACAUAAUUGUCAUUGUACAGUUGUAUGGUUUUAAUUCAUGAUUAUUAAAUGCAUAAAUAUUAUGUUUUACCACUUUUUAUCAUUGUUUAGAUCAAUUGCUUGGUUUUAUAGCAUCAGUUGUUGCUUAGUUUGGUAGAUAUUUAGAGUAGAUAGUUGUUUUGAUUCGAGCCUUGUAUCUUUGACGAGUUUUGUCAAUGAUAUUUCAUAUCAACAUAAGAGCACUUACUACUGUGCUUAUAAUAUUGUCGGUUUCAAAACGCGAAACAUCAGUGUACCUAUAUAUAUAUACAACAUAUUAGGUGAAAUACAUUUGGACGAAACUACCACAUUUUGUUCAGUCGCUUUAUAUUAAAAUUAGCGGUUUAAGACACGUUUUAGACGGAUGUGACAUCGAAACUGACAAAUAUUGUGGUUGAAAUUAUACAACAUUCGAUGUAAAAAUCAGUCAUCAAUUUAUUUUUGAACUGAACUGAAGAUAGGUAUGCUAAAAUGAAGAUUACCAUAAUCUUAGUAGCUGUUAUUUGCCUUCCUAUGAUGGUAUCAGGAAGAACGAUUUCAAUUCGACACCGAAGGGAAUGCGACUCGUGCAAUAUGCGCUUUAAUCGGAACUGUAUCAAUCAUCCGUGUCCAUACGCAUCUUUUAUUGACCGGUCUUCCAUCUUCAGAACGAUUUGUGUCACUGAUUGUGCCAGUCGAUGGAACUUAUGCGAUGUGCAUUGUAAACAUUUGACAAAAUAAUAUUUUAUUUUCAAAUUAUUGUGUGGCAUCACUGAAUGCACCAGACUGUCGAACUACUGUCAUGUACAUUAUCAACAUUCAUUGGACAAAAUAAUAUUUUAUUUUCAAAUUAUUGUGUGGCAUCACUGAAUGUACCAGACUGUCGAACCACUGUCAUGUACAUUAUAAACAUUGGACAAAUGACAUUUCAUUUUCAAAUUAUUGUGUGGCAUCACUGAAUGUACCAGAAUGUCGAUAAACUGCCAUGUGCAUUGUAAACAUUGGACAAAAUAGCAUUUUAUUUUCAAAUUUUUGUGUGGCAUCAGUGAAUGCACCACACUUUUGAACCACCACUGUCAUGUGCAUUGUAAACAUUGGACAAAAUUGCAUUUUAUUUUCAAAUGUUUGUGUGGCAUCACUGAAUGCACUACCCUUUUGAACCACCACUGUCAUGUGCAUUGUAAACAUUGGACAAAAUUGCAUUUUAUUUUCAAAUUUUUGUGUGGCAUCACUGAAUGCACUACCCUUUUGAACCACCACUGUCAUGUGCAUUGUAAACAUGGGCCAAAAUAGCAUUUUAUUUUCAAUUUUUGUGUGGCAUUACUGAAUGCAACACACUUUUGAACCACUGUUAUGUGCAUUGUAAACAUUGGACAAAAUAGCAUUUUAUAAUCAUAUUAUUUCUUUAUAUAUGGUAUAACCACAUGUAUAUACGGAUAUGAUAACAAGUUAAGAGGAUUGAAGAGAUCUGUAAAAUCGUUUGGUUUUCAACUAUCACUGCCAACGCCUAGAACAAAUUUUUUUACAACAUGAGAACAUUCUUCAUAAUAUUAAUUUCAUAUUUGCCAUUAUGAUAAACGUUGAUCUUUUCUACUGGUUAAAUGUUCGUGAAAGUUCAAGAAUUAUUACCACAUUUGCAUUUAUUUUAUAUGUGAUGUAUAAUUUGGAAUCAACUAAGAACUUAUUUUGUGCAUAAUAUUUAAUAAACAACGAAUAUUGUUAUAUACAUUUCAAAAAUAAAUGAUUAAUAUUUUAAAAGGACCAUGCAAA
This is a long non-coding RNA of Mytilus californianus (California mussel), 4129 nucleotides long. RefSeq lists it as uncharacterized. The transcript has 3 exons. Lineage: Eukaryota; Metazoa; Mollusca; Bivalvia; Mytilida; Mytilidae. The record is from RefSeq and is a predicted model, not a curated record.